Molecule: ribosomal RNA, 478 nt
Filed under: uncultured bacterium
Lineage: Bacteria
Description: partial 16S ribosomal RNA
Rfam family: Bacterial small subunit ribosomal RNA
Source: RNAcentral
GACGAACGCUGGCGGCGUGCUUAACACAUGCAAGUCGAACGGUAAGGCCCUUCGGGGUACACGAGUGGCGAACGGGUGAGUAACACGUGGGUGAUCUGCCCUGCACUUCGGGAUAAGCCUGGGAAACUGGGUCUAAUACCGGAUAGGACCACUGCCUGCAUGGGUGGUGGUGGAAAGCUUUUGCGGUGUGGGAUGGGACCGCGGCCUAUCAGCUUGUUGGUGGGGUGAUGGCCUACCAAGGCGACGACGGGUAGCCGGCCUGAGAGGGUGACCGGCCACACUGGGACUGAGAUACGGCCCAGACUCCUACGGGAGGCAGCAGUGGGGAAUAUUGCACAAUGGGCGCAAGCCUGAUGCAGCGACGCCGCGUGAGGGAUGACGGCCUUCGGGUUGUAAACCUCUUUCAGCACCGACGAAGCGCAAGUGACGGUAGGUGCAGAAGAAGGACCGGCCAACUACGUGUCAGCAGCCGCGGUAA